RNAcentral lists this ribosomal RNA (493 nucleotides) under uncultured bacterium. RNAcentral's name for it is "partial 16S ribosomal RNA". It matches the Rfam family "Bacterial small subunit ribosomal RNA", at positions 30 to 523 of the family's 1533-position model. The record is from RNAcentral.
AUUGAACGCUGGCGGCAUGCUUUACACAUGCAAGUCGAACGGUAACAGGUUAAGCUGACGAGUGGCGAACGGGUGAGUAAUGCAUCGGAACGUGCCCGAUCGUGGGGGAUAACGCAGCGAAAGCUGCGCAAAUACCGCAUACGAUCUGAGGAUGAAAGCGGGGGACCGUAAGGCCUCGCGCGAUCGGAGCGGCCGAUGUCAGAUUAGGUAGUUGGUGGGGUAAAGGCUCACCAAGCCGACGAUCUGUAGCUGGUCUGAGAGGACGACCAGCCACACUGGGACUGGGACACGGCCCAGACUCCUACGGGAGGCAGCAGUGGGGAAUUUUGGACAAUGGGCGAAAGCCUUAUCCAGCAAUGCCGCGUGCAGGAAGAAGGCCUUCGGGUUGUAAACUGCUUUUGUACGGAGCGAAAAGGCUCUCUCUAAUACAGGGGGCUCAUGACGGUACCGUAAGAAUAAGCACCGGCUAACUACGUGCCAGCCGCCGCCGUAA